GCCACAUCUUUCUACAACUUUUGAAAGAAGCAGGUGAGGUUUCCGAAAAAAAAACCAAGUGAAAUGAAAGGUGACGGUCAGUGUGCUAUCUUUUGACCGCACAGCAAAAAAGUGGUUGCCGGGCUAGAAGCAAGAUGGAAAGAUGAAGAAAUGGGCAGAAAAGGCAUUUGGUGCCUUGAUGAAAAAUUUCAAAAAUAAAAGGGUCCCAUGGUGAAACUAGAGCAAUUCCCAGAAGACUAAAUGUGGGAGGAAUGGGACGAGGUAGGGGAAGUCAGCAGAGACUCUAAGUUGUUUAAGAGAGCGUAUUACUUAUCUAUUGCUGUGUAACAAAUGAACGCAAAACUAAGCAGCCCGAGACAACUUAAGAAACCCACGAUUUCCGUGUGCCUGGAGUCUGGGUUGGCUCAGCAGGAUGCCUUUAGCUCAGGGUCUCUCACAAGGCUGCACUCAAGGUGUCAGCGGGCACUGUGGUCAUCUCAAGGCUUGCCUGGGGGGGUGGCUCCGCCUCCACUUUGUCCCUUCCCAACCUCAUCUGUAGUCUGCCACAGGCCUCGGUGCCCCAGUAGCUGCUAAUCUUUUGCCAUGGGGCUACUCAUAGCACGUCAGCUUGCUUCCCUCAGAGCUGGGGGUAGGGAGAAGAGGAAAAGCAAGCAAGACAGAAGUCACCCAGAAGUGCAAAAAAGGAGUUGCCAUCCCAUUACUUUUGCCAUAUUUGAUUUGUUAGAAGUGAUCCAGUAGGUCCGACCCACCUGCAAGGGGAGAGGCUUACGCAAGAGCAUGAAAACCUGAGGACAGAGACCACCAGGACCAACAAAGGCUGUGGACCACAGAGACACUCUUUAUUCAUGGAAUAAACCUGGAGCCCGAUUCUCCCAAGGCGAGCCUCCUGAAAUGAUAGAAGCUACGGAGGGAGGCCACAUGCUAGGCCACAUGUCAGCAUUAUUACUGUUCAUCAUUCAUUCAGGGCCCACAAAAGCGAGAGCAUCUCCAUACGGGUGUGGAUUUUAAAAUCAGGAAAGCAGGCCAGAUAGAAUUCAUGCUUAGGCACAGCUGCUCAGAACUGACCACCCUAAGGGGCCCACUGUUAAUAACUCAUCCUUUCUGAUGAUCCGCCCACUGCCUGGUGUGGCUGCUGCCACUGUUCAGCUCUGUCCCCUGCCCUGAGAAACAUGUGCUGCCAGAGGUUCGUCCUCACAAUAAUAACCGCUAACACUGAGUGACAGCAUGUGAUGGUCAAGUACAGAGUCUGGCACUUUAUGUUCAUCACCGCGUUUCAUCCUCACCACGACCCUGUUCUGUGGAUCCGGCUGGACGCAUCCAGAGGUGGGAGUCCCUGUGGUCUGGGCACUGAUCAGUGCCUGAAUGUUCUCAGGGACACUCCCCUUCAUUAAAGCAGACAGUUAGACAUUAACA
RNAcentral lists this long non-coding RNA (1413 nucleotides) under Homo sapiens (human). RNAcentral's name for it is "HSALNT0273332". Lineage: Eukaryota; Metazoa; Chordata; Mammalia; Primates; Hominidae. The record is from RNAcentral.